GUAGUCUGCAACUCGACUACAUGAAGCUGGAAUCGCUAGUAAUCGCGAAUCAGAAUGUCGCGGUGAAUACGUUCCCGGGUCUUGUACACACCGCCCGUCACACCAUGGGAGUCGGAUAUGCCCGAAGUCUGUGACCCAACGAAAGAGGGAGCAGCCGAAGGCAGGUCUGAUAACUGGGGUGAAGUCGUAACAAGGUAGC
Molecule: ribosomal RNA, 199 nt
Filed under: uncultured bacterium
Lineage: Bacteria
Description: partial 16S ribosomal RNA
Rfam family: Bacterial small subunit ribosomal RNA
Source: RNAcentral